This 846-nucleotide ribosomal RNA is filed under the name uncultured archaeon. Its description in RNAcentral is "bacterial SSU rRNA". It matches the Rfam family "Archaeal small subunit ribosomal RNA", at positions 21 to 873 of the family's 1478-position model. The record is from RNAcentral.
AGCUACUGCUAUCGGGAUUCGAUUAAGCCAUGCGAGUCGAGGGAAUUAGAUUCCCGGCUGGCGGCUCAGUAACACGUGGAUAAUUUGCCCUCAGGUGGGGGAUAAUCUCGGGAAACUGAGGAUAAUACCCCAUAGGCAUCCUUCGCUGGAAUGCUUGGAUGCUCAAAGCCCAAAGCGCCUGAGGAUAAGUCUGCGGCCUAUCAGGUAGUAGUGGGUGUAAUGGACCCACUAGCCUACGACGGGUACGGGCCUUGAAAGAGGUAGCCCGGAGAUGGACUCUGAGACACGAGUCCAGGCCCUACGGGGCGCAGCAGGCGCGAGAACUUCGCAGUGCGGGAAACCGUGACGAGGGAAUCCCGAGUGCUCAUGCAAUGCAUGGGCUUUUAUGAUGUGUAAAAAGCAUUAGGAAUAAGGGCUGGGUAAGACCGGUGCCAGCCGCCGCGGUAAUACCGGCAGCUCAAGUGGUAGCCACUAUUAUUGGGCCUAAAGCGUCCGUAGCCGGUCAGGUAAAUCCUUGGGUAAAUCGUACAGCUUAACUGUACGGCUUCCGAGGAGACUGCUUGACUUGGGACCGGGAGAGGUUGGAGGUACUCCUGGGGUAGGGGUGAAAUCCUGUAAUCCUAGGUGGACCACCGGUGGCGAAGGCGUCCAACCAGAACGGCUCCGACGGUGAGGGACGAAGGCUAGGGGCGCAAACCGGAUUAGAUACCCGGGUAGUCCUAGCUGUAAACGCUGCAGACUUGGUGUUGGAGAUCCUACGAGGGUGUUCAGUGCCGGAGAGAAGUUGGUAAGUUUGCCGCCUGGGAAGUAUGGCCGCAAAGCUGAAACUUAAAGGAAUUGGCGGGG